GAUGAACGCUGGCGGCGUGCCUAAUACAUGCAAGUCGAGCGAACAGACGAGGAGCUUGCUCCUCUGACGUUAGCGGCGGACGGGUGAGUAACACGUGGAUAACCUACCUAUAAGACUGGGAUAACUUCGGGAAACCGGAGCUAAUACCGGAUAAUAUAUUGAACCGCUUGGUUCAAUAGUGAAAGACGGUUUUGCUGUCACUUAUAGAUGGAUCCGCGCCGCAUUAGCUAGUUGGUAAGGUAACGGCUUACCAAGGCAACGAUGCGUAGCCGACCUGAGAGGGUGAUCGGCCACACUGGAACUGAGACACGGUCCAGACUCCUACGGGAGGCAGCAGUAGGGAAUAUUCCGCAAUGGGCGAAAGCCUGACGGAGCAACGCCGCGUGAGUGAUGAAGGUCUUCGGAUCGUAAAACUCUGUUAUUAGGGAAGAACAAAUGUGUAAGUAACUAUGCACGUCUUGACGGUACCUAAUCAGAAAGCCACGGCUAACUACGUG
Molecule: ribosomal RNA, 497 nt
Filed under: uncultured bacterium
Lineage: Bacteria
Description: partial 16S ribosomal RNA
Rfam family: Bacterial small subunit ribosomal RNA
Source: RNAcentral